RNAcentral lists this ribosomal RNA (250 nucleotides) under uncultured bacterium. Its description in RNAcentral is "partial 16S ribosomal RNA". It matches the Rfam family "Bacterial small subunit ribosomal RNA", at positions 779 to 1028 of the family's 1533-position model. The record is from RNAcentral.
UAGAUACCCUGGUAGUCCACGCCGUAAACGGUGGGCGCUAGGUGUGGGUUUCCUUCCACGGGAUCCGUGCCGUAGCCAACGCAUUAAGCGCCCCGCCUGGGGAGUACGGCCGCAAGGCUAAAACUCAAAGGAAUUGACGGGGGCCCGCACAAGCUGCGGAGCAUGUGGAUUAAUUCGAUGCAACGCGAAGAACCUUACCUGGGUUUGACAUGUACCGGACGACUGCAGAGAUGUGGUUUCCCUUGUGGCC